RNAcentral lists this ribosomal RNA (433 nucleotides) under uncultured bacterium. RNAcentral's name for it is "partial 16S ribosomal RNA". It matches the Rfam family "Bacterial small subunit ribosomal RNA", at positions 29 to 507 of the family's 1533-position model. The record is from RNAcentral.
AACGAACGCUGGCGGCAUGCCUAACACAUGCAAGUCGAACGAGACCUUCGGGUCUAGUGGCGCACGGGUGCGUAACGCGUGGGAACCUGCCCUUAGGUUCGGAAUAACUCCCCGAAAGGGGUGCUAAUACCGGCUCAUGUCCUCGGACCAAAGAUUUAUCGCCUUUGGAUGGGCCCGCGUUGGAUUAGCUAGUUGGUAGGGUAAAAGCCUACCAAGGCGACGAUCCAUAGCUGGUCUGAGAGGAUGAUCAGCCACACUGGGACUGAGACACGGCCCAGACUCCUACGGGAGGCAGCAGUGGGGAAUAUUGGACAAUGGGCGAAAGCAUGAUCCAGCAAUGCCGCGUGAGUGAUGAAGGCCUUAGGGUUGUAAAGCUCUUUUACCCGGGAUGAUAAUGACAGUACCGGGAGAAUAAGCUCCGGCUAACUCCGUG